UCCUGGGAUGGAAGAAAGAAUUCUGAUCGUUUGAAUGGAACUGCUGUUUGUGGCUGUGGUCACAAAGAACUUGCUUUGUAGAGAGAGCUGACCUUGGGCGUUUAUCUUGAUUUGGCAAAGACUUAUUUUGCAAGCAGGUGUUUCACCUGGGCUUUGUGUCGUGCAUUGGACAAGCGAGUGCAGUGUGCAAGUGGAAAAAGGCCUGCAGACCCUGGGGAGAAUAAAAGUAACUGUGACGUUCUCAUUCUCUGAAAUAGGAUUAAUGAUAUAUUUUGACCCAAAUUGUGGCCCUCACACACUCCAAAAUUGGAUUUAUUGCAUAUUUUGACAUGAGUUGUGAAGUUCUCACCCUCAGAAGUUGGGUUUUGCCCCUAUUAUGGCCCAAUAUAUGAUGUUCUUACACUCCAAAAUAGAGCUAAUGACAUAUUCUAACAGAAAUUGUGACACACUCACACCCUGAAAUUGAGUUUAUGAUAUAUUUUGACCAAAAUUGGCAUGGCAGAUAUCAUUUGUCCUGAAAAAACAAAUGGAUUUUUCUCAAAUUGCUCUGUUAUAACAAACUAGAGCCAGGCAGACUGAAGAAAUAGGAAAAUCUAUCAAUCAAUCCAUCAAAAUGCUCUGGCAAUCGAUGGAACUGUUGGUGCUACAGAUACCGCUCGAUUUGCCGUUUUUGUUAGAGGUUGUGAUAACAAAUAUAGCGUCACUGAAGAAAUGGCUUCUUUGGUGCCAUUGAAAGUCAAAACUAAAUCUCCGGAGCUGUAUGAAGCAAUAAAAGCAACAUUAAAGUGAUUUCUUUCUCCUUUCACAGCACCUGUGUCUCCAGCAUCCCUUCCCCCCCCCCCCCCAAGCCUUUCCACGAUUCUGUUUCCAUGAUGUCAAUGUGGAAACCUCAGCUGUGGUCUCCUGCUGCUCCAGAUGAGUGCCGAUCCUCUCCCACCACACAGUGCACACAAGCCCAGGGGGAACCUGGCCAUGGCAGCAGAACAGAUCUGCAUCCUGGAAGGGAUGUGAGGUCACAAUGCCUGCCGUGCUCGAUGAGGUCACAGUGCUCAGUGUGUGUACCCAGCUGUUCCGUGCUGGCCCCAGCACUUGCUGUGGCUGCAGCGGUGGUGGUGGCAGCAUGGCACGAGUGUGGGGGGCCGUGUCCCCCGCCCGCCUUGCUCUCCUCCUCCUACUGAUGCCAUGUGUUCCAAGGAGACUUGUGCUGCGCCGUGGCGAGCUCCAGCAGCAGGUGGGUGGGCAAAGAUGGGACCAAGUGUAACUACAGGCCAGAGGUCCAGGCUGUUGUCCCUGUGCCACACUGCCCCGGGGCUGCCUUUCUGCAAGGGUAUUGGGAAGGGGGCCAGGCAGCACCCAGGAGCCAGGUGUGGGCUGAAGCAGCGCUCCCCCAGGGCUGGCUCCAGCUAUGCCAGGCCAUGGCUCUGCUGCUGGCUGAGCCCACCCUGGAGGUGUCCUAUGGGAAAGCUCAGAAGAAGCGUGUUGGGAAAAGCGUGAGCAUUUCUGCUCUGGCUUCCCGGUGCUCCCCACAGGCAAAUCCCAGUUCCCAACAGAGACACCCAGCUGGAGCCCAGAGGAAGGAACAGGCAUCGUUUCCUCUGGUGCUUUAGUGGGAGAUCCAGCAAGGAGCUCCAGUAAGAAAGCCCUGACGGGCUGUAUACCCUUCCAUGAGGUCCCCAGAGGUGUGUUACAAGUGGCCUGGAGAGGGCAUUUGAAAAGCUGCCGAGUGCCAGGCUCCAGGUCACCCCGGUUAUUCUCUAGCUUUGGCAAUCACGGUCUGAGUCUCCCAUUCCAUUACCUGACCCAGUCCCCAGUCACUAAGGGAGAAGGCGCAACAUGCAAUGGGAACAUCUCUCAUCUGUUCUUGAUUUUAGAUGAUGAUGUUGGAGUUCCUUAUCCAGAUGUUUUGGUGGAUACUGAUUUUGUGCCUCAGGGGAAACCCAGAGGUAAGUUGUGUCUGUUUCCUGGAAGACAGAAAAAUGAGCGCUGUAAUAGUUUAUUCAGGUACUUAAGAACCUCCAAAGGUCUUUCAAGUCUCUUUGUGCCUUAAAGGCCGUACACAGAUCAGCUGAGAGUAGUUCUUUACUUGGAGAGUUGUCCCAUUUCAGUGGGAAGGCAGCCCUUGCCACUCUUUGGAGGAGAGAACCGAUGCCUUUGCUGUUUGGGCCAUGUCAUUCCCCGACCUGCUGCCAGUCUUUGCAGGUCACUGCAGAAAAACCAGGCCCCAGUGUGCAGUGGAAGCUCUCCUCACCUGUGUCUGAUCACACUUGUGCCUGCAGGCCCUCUUGGUGGAUUACCAGAAUGGAGACCUGUCCCUGAACCUGGGGUGGAUGCCAGAGGUAAGUCACCAGUCUUCACCUCAUGAUCUUUGCUCAUAUUUGGUUGUGGAAGUUCAGGAAGGGUUCAGCUUUUUGCUGCCUGGUGGUUUCUCGUCCAUGAGAAGCUUGGGCAGUCACUGUUCCUUGGGUGCUGUGUGCACCCACUGUCCCAUUGGCUUUCUCUCCAUCCAUCGGAGAUCUUUCUAGUAAGAAAACCCCAAUGUUCUUCCAUGCAGAGAGUAUCUGCAAAGCUGCUGAGUGCCAGCCAACUGCCAGCCAACUGCCCACCUGGCCCCUCUGCAACUUUCAACCCAGCUCUGGGUGCCACAUCGUCACCUGAGCCCCUUCCAGUCACUGCAGGUCCCUAAGGAAGAGAGAGAUCACAACGCACAAUGGGGAUGUUUCUCAUCGCUGUGUGAUUACCGCUGUGCCUAUAAGCAGUGCCUUGCCAAAGCCUCCAUAAUCUGGUCCAUAAGCCUCCGGGCAAUCCCACAGGAAAGGGCCUUUAGAUCUUCCCCUUCUCCUUCCACCCCCUUCUCUUCUCCAGACAGUUCCACACAGCCUAGUAGGGAGAGAAGAGUGCUAUGCAGCAGUGCUGUCAUUCCAGUUAAACCACCAUCCAGCCACAUCUGACAGGAGCUGCUCUGUCUGUGUUUGUUGACAGGUGUGGGUAGCAUUGGAUGGGAUCCAUCUUCCCUGCUGAGCUCCAGGACAGAAGCCCCAGCAGCUCCUAAGGGUAUGCUGUGAAUUUUUGCUUCCUUUGAGAGAUGCCAGCUCACAGCCCUAAUGUCAGCCAGGCACGACCCCCUGGCACCAUCUGCUCUUCAGUGAUGCGGUUCUGUAGGUUGCAGUUUGUGAUGGAAAGUUCCCAUUCUUUGGGUGCUGAAGUGCCUCCAGGGAAGGCUGUGCCAAAUACUUGGCUGCCUCCUGUGCUGGAGCCGCACAGGCAUCCCAGGAGUGGCUGCUGUCUCAUGACUUUGCUGAAAAGACCACUCAGUUCAAUACCUUGUUUGUCUGAAAUUGAUCCCAAUACUUUCUGUUCAGGUCCUGAGAGACAGAAAGAGGCGCUGGAAGAGGAAGAUACCCACAGAGGCUGUCCUAUAUGCCAAAGAAAAUCACAAAGGAGAAGGCAGCACAUGGGACUGACGCAGAGCCUGCUCACAGGGAUGCAUUUCAGCAAGGCAUCCGUCGCACACUGCCCAUCCCUCUGGGAGAAAGAGAGGCCUCGCAAGCAGCUGGCACUCCAGGUAAGGGCCGCCGGUAGAGCUCCGUGGCCAUGGUUAGAGGUUGCUCCCCUCCCACUGCACCCAGUUCCCAGGGACUUAGGAACUUUGUCCUUUUGGGAACAAGGCCACCAAAACCACAUUCAGCAGAGAUGGGAGGGAAUAGGACCCUUCAGCGUACCUCCCUCACACAGUCCCUGCAUUCCGAGCUUGCUGUGCCUCCCUUGAGGCUCCAGGCACACCAGCAGCCCGGAGCGGGGUCCAUCCUGCAAACUGAGGUCCAGAGAGAUGCACUGACUCACAGAUGGCGCAAUGGCAUAGAGGGAGCCUCCUCGUCCUUCUGCCUCCUCUGUGCCUGCACCAUGCCCAGACUUUGCCUUUCUCUCAUUCUUCACAGCGCUGUCAAAUCCCGGGGAAGCCCACCACAACUGGGUCUAUCGUUUUCUGAGGAAUCCAGGUGUGCCUGGUGCAGGACGUGCAAACGCCGAGCAAGUUAAAGUUGGUUGGAAGUUCUACCUGAUACUUGCUGGAGCUUCCUUGGGUUCCCUAUUGCUGGGGAUGCUUCUGUGCUGGCUUCUUAUUUACUGGUACAGGAACAGAAAGUGAGUUGUUGACCCCCAUCCCCAUCCUGCCCAACUCUUUACUGUAGGGCUGCUGUGGGCCAGGAGGCGUUUCUAGUUAAAGCAGCGUAAAGAGACCAGUUAAUUGUUGGCUCACACGGUCUGUGAUUGACGCAGUUAGAUGUUGUCAUUGGCUUCAGCCCAUCCUUACUGCUGGGCCAGAGACAGGCUGGGAGCUGAGGGUGGCUCUUUGCCAUGCGCUGUGAGAAAGCAGAGCAGGGGCUCUCCUGUGCCCUCAGCACGUUCCUCUCUUUGCAGGCGCCGCUGGGAAGCU
Molecule: non-coding RNA, 4432 nt
Organism: Coturnix japonica (Japanese quail)
Lineage: Eukaryota; Metazoa; Chordata; Aves; Galliformes; Phasianidae
Source: RefSeq, a predicted model, not a curated record